This is a long non-coding RNA of Amphimedon queenslandica, 418 nucleotides long. RefSeq lists it as uncharacterized. Lineage: Eukaryota; Metazoa; Porifera; Demospongiae; Haplosclerida; Niphatidae. The transcript has 4 exons. The record is from RefSeq and is a predicted model, not a curated record.
CUGUGACCUUUAGGAUAUAAAAUAAGACACCUGAAACUGUAAGUUCAAAAUCAAAAAGUAAUGGCUGCCCCAAUAGAGGAUGUCCUCAUUGAGGUCCAUCCAUCUGAUGGUAAGUUGGGAAUGUGUAACCCUAUAGUGAUAACUAUAAUGCCUUUUGUUUUUGGUAGAUGAACUUGGUAAGUUGUUGGUACAUGUAUGUUUGUGUUGUACAUUAAAAGCAAAAAAUAAUUGUAUUUAUAGCAGAAAAAGAUGAAGUAAGGGUGAAAGAGACGAAAGGAGACAGAGGAGAGAGGACAGAGGAGAAGGGGGACAGAGACAAAGAGGAGGGUGGAGAUAGUCAAAAGGAGAAUGAAUCAAACGGCUUAACUAUGAGAAGGACUAUUAAGCUAAAAAGCAAGAAGAAAGAAGGAAGGCCCUU